RNAcentral lists this ribosomal RNA (895 nucleotides) under uncultured bacterium. RNAcentral describes it as "bacterial SSU rRNA". It matches the Rfam family "Bacterial small subunit ribosomal RNA", at positions 77 to 967 of the family's 1533-position model. The record is from RNAcentral.
GGGCAACCCUGGUGGCGAGUGGCGGACGGGUGAGUAAUGCAUCGGAACGUGCCCUGAAGUGGGGGAUAACGCAGCGAAAGCCACGCUAAUACCGCAUAUUCUGUGAGCAGGAAAGCAGGGGAUCGCAAGACCUUGCGCUUUGGGAGCGGCCGAUGUCGGAUUAGCUAGUUGGUGGGGUAAAGGCCUACCAAGGCGACGAUCCGUAGCGGGUCUGAGAGGAUGAUCCGCCACACUGGGACUGAGACACGGCCCAGACUCCUAUGGGAGGCAGCAGUGGGGAAUUUUGGACAAUGGGCGGAAGCCUGAUCCAGCCAUGCCGCGUGAGUGAAGAAGGCCUUCGGGUUGUAAAGCUCUUUCGGCGGGGAAGAAAUUGCUUGGGUUAAUACCCUGAGUAGAUGACGGUACCCGAAUAAGAAGCACCGGCUAACUACGUGCCAGCAGCCGCGGUAAUACGUAGGGUGCGAGCGUUAAUCGGAAUUACUGGGCGUAAAGCGUGCGCAGGCGGUUUUGUAAGUCAGAUGUGAAAUCCCCGGGCUCAACCUGGGAACUGCAUUUGAGACUGCAAGACUGGAGUUUGGCAGAGGGGGGUGGAAUUCCACGUGUAGCAGUGAAAUGCGUAGAGAUGUGGAGGAACACCGAUGGCGAAGGCAGCCCCCUGGGCCAAUACUGACGCUCAUGCACGAAAGCGUGGGGAGCAAACAGGAUUAGAUACCCUGGUGGUCCACGCCCUAAACGAUGUCAACUAGGUGUUGGGAGGGUUAAACCUUUUAGUGCCGUAGCUAACGCGUGAAGUUGACCGCCUGGGGAGUACGGCCGCAAGGCUAAAACUCAAAGGAAUUGACGGGGACCCGCACAAGCGGUGGAUGAUGUGGAUUAAUUCGAUGCAACGCGAAAA